UCAAGUUAAUAUGGUUGAUUUAUUUAUCAAAUCUCUACCAAAGAUCGUUUUGAAGAUAGUGCACAAGAUUGGAAUGCAAAGGCUCAAAUAUGUGAAUUGAUGCUCUCAUUAGGGGGAGUUAAUGCGCGUUGCACUCUUUUUCCCUUUCAAAGUUUUGUCCCACUGGGUUUUCCUUGUAAGGUUUUUAACGAGGCAACCAAUAGGCGCAUUUCUAAACAU
RNAcentral lists this long non-coding RNA (219 nucleotides) under Nicotiana benthamiana. RNAcentral's name for it is "long non-coding RNA (NBEN_LNC031105)". Lineage: Eukaryota; Viridiplantae; Streptophyta; Magnoliopsida; Solanales; Solanaceae. The record is from RNAcentral.